RNAcentral lists this ribosomal RNA (253 nucleotides) under uncultured bacterium. RNAcentral describes it as "partial 16S ribosomal RNA". It matches the Rfam family "Bacterial small subunit ribosomal RNA", at positions 524 to 776 of the family's 1533-position model. The record is from RNAcentral.
CACGUAGGGUGCGAGCGUUGUCCGGAAUUAUUGGGCGUAAAGGGCUCGUAGGCGGUCUGUCGCGUCGGGAGUGAAAACUCAGGGCUUAACCCUGAGCCUGCUUCCGAUACGGGCAGACUAGAGGUAUGCAGGGGAGAACGGAAUUCCUGGUGUAGCGGUGAAAUGCGCAGAUAUCAGGAGGAACACCGGUGGCGAAGGCGGUUCUCUGGGCAUUACCUGACGCUGAGGAGCGAAAGUGUGGGGAGCGAACAGG